ACACACAGUGUUUUUUGUUAUUACAAGAACUUUUGCUUUGGUCUGGACUAGAAAUAGUUUGGGCCAGAGGUUUACUGAACUAAACUUCAAUAUUUAUAUUGAAUUGUUAUUUAUUUAAUUGUCAAUUUGUUGAUUAAAUUCAAAAAAUCUUCAAAACUUUCAACAACGGAUCUCUUGGUUCUCGCAUCGAUGAAGAACGCAGCGAAAUGCGAUAAGUAAUAUGAAUUGCAGAUUUUCGUGAAUCAUCGAAUCUUUGAACGCACAUUGCGCCCUCUGGUAUUCCAGAGGGCAUGCCUGUUUGAGCGUCAUUUCUCUCUCAAACCUUCGGGUUUGGUAUUGAGUGAUACUCUUAGUCGAACUAGGCGUUUGCUUGAAAUGUAUUGGCAUGAGUGGUACUGGAUAGUGCUAUAUGACUUUCAAUGUAUUAGGUUUAUCCAACUCGUUGAAUAGUUUAAUGGUAUAUUUCUCGGUAUUCUAGGCUCGGCCUUACAAUAUAACAAACAAGUUUGACCUCAAAUCAGGUAGGAUUACCCGCUGAACUUAAGCAUAU
This 550-nucleotide ribosomal RNA is filed under the name Debaryomyces hansenii. RNAcentral describes it as "eukaryotic LSU rRNA". The stretch from base 155 to 308 matches the Rfam family "5.8S ribosomal RNA". The record is from RNAcentral. Lineage: Eukaryota; Fungi; Ascomycota; Pichiomycetes; Serinales; Debaryomycetaceae.